UACGGGAGGCAGCAGUGGGGAAUAUUGCACAAUGGGCGAAAGCCUGAUGCAGCUAUGCCGCGUGUAUGAAGAAGGCCUUAGGGUUGUAAAGUACUUUCAUCGGGGAGGAAAAACAAAACUAAUAAUUUUAUUUCUUGACGUUACCCGAAAAAGAAGCACCGGCUAACUCCGUGCCAGCAGCCGCGGUAAUACGGAGGGUGCUAGCGUUAAUCAGAAUUACUGGGCGUAAAGAGCACGUAGGUGGUUUUUUUAAGUCAGAUGUGAAAUCCCUGGGCUUAACCUAGGAACUGCAUUUUGAAACUGAAAUACUAGAGUAUCGUAGAGGGAGGUAGAAUUCUAGGUGUAGCGGUGAAAUGCGUAGAUAUCUGGAGGAAUACCUGUGGCGAAAGCGGCCUCCUAAACGAAUACUGACACUGAGGUCGAAAGCGUGGGGAGCAAACAGGGAUUAGAUACC
RNAcentral lists this ribosomal RNA (454 nucleotides) under uncultured bacterium. Its description in RNAcentral is "bacterial SSU rRNA". It matches the Rfam family "Bacterial small subunit ribosomal RNA", at positions 340 to 786 of the family's 1533-position model. The record is from RNAcentral.